UCGAGACCUGCCCCUUGGAAAGGCAGGUGCCACAUUAUUCACUGAUGGGAGCAGCUGUGUGCCCCAGGUCUGCAGGGGCAGCCAUAGUGACACUCACAGAGGAGCAAGAAAGGAGACUGAAAAUCAGAGAUCUCAGCCCCCUAUCUGGUUGCCAGGAAGAUUUGCCAUCAUCCAUUGCCCAGGGCACUGGAAGGGGACUCGACUGAAGCCUGAGGCAACAGAUUUGCUGAUGCCAUGGCAGAAGGGCAGCCAGUGUGGUCAUUACAAAGGUUGGGUUCUGUAGUGUGCAAUUAAA
This 295-nucleotide long non-coding RNA is filed under the name Rattus norvegicus (Norway rat). RNAcentral's name for it is "long non-coding RNA NONRATT006713". The record is from RNAcentral. Lineage: Eukaryota; Metazoa; Chordata; Mammalia; Rodentia; Muridae.